Molecule: non-coding RNA, 78 nt
Organism: Podarcis lilfordi (Lilford's wall lizard)
Lineage: Eukaryota; Metazoa; Chordata; Lepidosauria; Squamata; Lacertidae
Source: the annotation of a GenBank genome assembly
GCUCCAGCCAUUUGGCUCAGUCAGUAGAGCAUGAGACUCUUAAUCUCAGAGUCGUGGGUUUGAGCCCCAUGUUGAGUG